This 265-nucleotide ribosomal RNA is filed under the name uncultured archaeon. RNAcentral's name for it is "partial 16S ribosomal RNA". It matches the Rfam family "Archaeal small subunit ribosomal RNA", at positions 717 to 982 of the family's 1478-position model. The record is from RNAcentral.
ACACGACUACAUUAGACUACCCCGUAGUCCCAGCUGUAAACGAUGCGCGUUAGGUGUGUCAGUGACCACGUGUCACUGAGGUGCCGAAGGGAAACCGUGAAACGCGCCGCCGUGGGAGUACGGUCGCAAGGCUAGAAACUUAAAGGAAUUGGCGGGGAGCACCACAACGGGUGGAGCCUGCGGUUUAAUCGGACUCAACGCCGGAAAUCUCACCGGAUAAGACAGCUGAAUGAUAGUCGGGAUGAAGACUCUACUUGACUAGCUG